Molecule: ribosomal RNA, 253 nt
Filed under: uncultured bacterium
Lineage: Bacteria
Description: partial 16S ribosomal RNA
Rfam family: Bacterial small subunit ribosomal RNA
Source: RNAcentral
UACAGAGGGUGCGAGCGUUAAUCGGAAUUACUGGGCGUAAAGCGUGCGUAGUCGGUUAUCUAAGUCGGGUGUGAAAUCCCCGGGCUCAACCUGGGAAUUGCAUUCGAUACUGGAUAGCUAGAGUUCGGCAGAGGGAAGCGGAAUUUCCGGUGUAGCGGUGAAAUGCGUAGAUAUCGGAAGGAACAUCAGUGGCGAAAGCGGCUUCCUGGACCAGAACUGACGAUCAGGCACGAAAGCAUGGGGAGCAAACAGG